Non-coding RNA from Cyanistes caeruleus (blue tit), 4266 nucleotides. NCBI's taxonomy places the organism in Eukaryota, Metazoa, Chordata, Aves, Passeriformes, Paridae. The record is from RefSeq and is a predicted model, not a curated record.
CUGCAGGGCCCGGCUCCUGCCCGCGCCCGUCUCCGCCCCCGGGCAGGCAGCCUGCGACAGGAUGAGAGGGACAGUCUUAAACUGCGCCUGGGGAAGGUUAGGUUGGACAUUAGGAAGAACUUCUUCACAGAGAAGACUGAGUAGAUACUGGAACAGGCUUCCCAGGGAUGUGGUGGAGUCACCGUCCCUGGAGGUGUUUAGGGAAAUACUGGACGUGGCACUCAGUGCUGUGGUCCAGUUGACAGGGUGGUGUUCGGUCACAGGUCGGAUUCAGUGAUCUUGGAGCUCUUUUCCAACCUAAUUGAUUCCCUAAUCUGCUCCCGCGGGGCAAGGCCCAGCAGCAAGCGGCCCCGGCGCCCUCUCCCUCAGCCGCCGGCCCGGCCCGAAGCCCGCGUUCCCAAGCGAGAGGCCGCACGGGGUAUUUAUUUAAGGAGAUUUCACCCAGGAGCUGCUGAUCAAAGCUAAUGCAAAAUAAAUGUCUCCCUUUAAUAGCCUGAUUCCUCGAAGCCCUUGACACUGGAAAUUGGGAUUUCCCCGUGCCAUUAGCACUUAGCAGUAGGCGCUCCAGCCCAGCCAAGAACAAGGGAUUAAGAGGCAUUUGUCUCAACUAAUUUCUCUCUCUAUACCAAGUCUAUAGAGACUGGUGUUACUCUGCUGGAAUUGUGCAACACGGCUAAUUGGCUACAAAUUUAACAGUGGCAGGGCUCCCACCGCAAGGCUGCCGUGUAUUCAUUACCGCCGUUCUCCCUCAAACGCGCCGGCACCUGGGCUGCCCCUGCCCUGGGAAAUGACCGCCUUGGCAUGGGCCGGCUCCUGGCUCUGGGGAAGGUGAGACUUCUGUCUUGCCUCCCCGGGGAGCUAGGCUGCCUUGUGGAAAACACAGCCAAACAAUUAAAAUCGUCAUUAUCCUAGAAAAGGGAUAGAUGUAGUGCAGGGUCAGCAAAAUUUUAUUUUUGUGAACUAUCAUUCAGGGUGGAUGUUGACUUUUUUGCACAGAUAUUAUACCACUAGUCACCUCCCUUCCAAAAACGGGGGACAAAAACCUGUCAUAUUUGGCUGUGAUUAUUUGAAAUUCCUUCCUCCAGGCUGUUUUGCACCUUGACUCCACUGUUUGCUUCUUUAUUGCUUGACCACAAGCUAAAGCAAAAGGUAGUUGAGUUUAUAUUAUGCAUGCAUCUGACCAAGGGGUCAUUAAGGGUACACAGAUUUUUGUUUUAUUUGUAUGUCAGUCAAAAAGGGUUCCUAGAAUAGUCUGGAACUAAGAAAGAAAUUCUAGGAAAGCCCACAGCCUACAUCACUGCUGCUGGAGAAUGAUUCCAUGACAACCAGGACUUUAUUCGUCUACCCCAAACUCCACCCCCUUACCCACAGUAGCACCAGACUUGCUUGUCUUAGGAGGGGAGGCAAAAUUCUCUCAGCAGGACUAUUUAGUUGGCCAAAAUGAACUUCUCCACUCCCAGAGGUGCUGAUUGAAAUCUGAAUGGCCAUAUGAGUCAGUCAGGACCUCAAUAACCUAGUCUUUCAGAGCUAACUUCAUGAGAUGAACCACUGCAUCACUGUUGCCUUGAACAGAAAGGUCAUCCUGAAGUUUUGAUUUAUCCACCUCAGCUGCCCAGGAGCCCAGGGAACUGGCAAAUAAAAAAACCAGUAAAACAGUAGUUUCCCAACACCAGUUCAGAUAAUGUUUUAAGACACUAGAUUCACAAACCAGUUUGUGUUUCUGCCUGAGUAAUUUUACUUCUCGUCAUUCAAGUUCAAGGGUGAAACUCAAGGUCUGUGGUUUGUCUGUUGAGUUCAGUGUCUUAUAAUACCUAUUCCAUAUGGUUAUGAAACUCCAGCCUCAUCCAGCCAGGCCGAACUAUCAGGACACUAUUGCAAAAGUAGCUGUUUAAAAAACACUGCAACACUGUUGAAUCUUGGCAUGUGCUGCUGUGCACAGUUAGCCUAUGCUGAUAAAAGUCCAUGAAAAUUCACAGAAUGAAAGUCCAUCUUUAGUGAGAUGGAUGGGAAACACCCAGAACUUCAGCAGAAACAGAGUUUUACUGAAGAAAGACAGAUUUCCAGCCACUCAUUGAGUUGAUCCAAACAGACACAGGAACCAAAGCCAGGCUGGCAACGUUUGCCCCCCCUCUUCCUUAUGUACACCCCAAUGAGAAGUUAACAAGUGGUGUCUGUUGAUGUGGAACACACUAUUAUCCUGCAACACAAAGAUAGCAUCAAUUUUAAUCCCAGUCUACAAGGUAACAAUAAACUGCUGGCUAAGAAUCAAACUAAUAAUAUCAGUCCGUGCACACACAGAAACAAUUCUGUUAAAAAUCUAACAUCCUAGGUGUUGUUAAUCAAACUGUUCAAGGUAGGCCUCUUUUAUGGACUUAACCAAAGUGUUUUCUGAGAUGUGCAUAGAGAAUACCACAAUUCAGAAAGAACACCUUCAUUAUGAGGUAACAAUGGGAUGCAGAAGGCAUAAAAUACGAUGAUGAUUCAAGAUGUUCCACUUCUGUACAAGAUGUAACUAAAAUAUCAUCAUGGCUUGUCAGGAGCAGAGGUUGUCUGCUGAGGCAGGAUGGAGAGGAGAACUGGAGGCACAAAAAGGUGAAGAUCACAGGUUGAGGUAAGAACAAUUUACUAGAAACAACAACGAAAUAAGAAAACUAACAGUGAUAACAACAAUAGUAACAAGAAUGUUCAAGAUAGGUGAACGAUUCACAUUUGAUUGUGCAAGGACUCACCUCUGAUUGCUCAAGGAACAGUGCCCCUCCUGGGUGCUGUAAAAAUUAACCCUGUCCUGGCCAGAACCAGGACAGGGCAAAGAAAUGAAAGACUCAUACCAGUCAAUGAUGAACACUCCAGAGUCAGUGCAACAUGAAACCAGCAUGUCCAUAUAUGCUGUUUAUUAGCACAUAUGUGUUUAAGGUUCUGUUCUCUAUAAAGUGGCAGUCAAGAACUGAACAGCUAUGGGUUUGGAAAAUUUUUUCCUACCAGGAAAUACAUUUUGUAUGAACAUUGUAUGGAUCCUUUUGCAAAAAGAAAUCCCAAAGAGACUUAGCAGCAUCUUUGCAAAAAACAGGUCCAAAGUCUUUUAAUUUUUAAACAUAAUAAAUUUUCCUUUGUUCAGACAGGUGAGUCUCUCUGAAACAACUAUUUACAGUCCUAUUUAGGAAGUUAUAGAUUUUGAUAAACUUCCAGAACACUAGAAAACAAUCCAGACUGAACACAAGUUUUUGACAUUACACUUGGGAAAUGACUACCUUUGCAAACAUUAACAUCUCCAUGCCUAAGCCUUCAGUUCCAACAGUCCUGUACGUUCAUGCAUGGAAAAACCUAUAAGAAUACUGACAUGCCAGAAUGUUCGCAGGAUCACUGCCUGUGAAAGGUUAUUCACAGACACAGUUUCAGGCAAAAUCACACCCUCAGAGUUAUUACAACUCUGCCAAAGCCAUGGAAAGCAAACUGUUUUCUACUGUGUGAGGAACAAUAGAACUAUUCUGGACAAGAUUUAUUCUGAAAAGUAGACAUUGAGGAUAGUCAUAAUUUUCUUUUCAGGGCCCCAAAAGCUGCUGUGCCUGACCAUGAAGGUUGCCACAGGGCAUAUCAACCAGAAAAGCUAAAGGCAGAAAAAUCAGAAACUGAAAGUGAAAGCACAAGCUUUCCCUUCUGUACACCCCACUCCACACACUCCCAUGGAUUGUUUCCUUUGCCAUGUUUCCUUUUCCACAGAAGACUGAAAAAUGAAUCCUGGAAUCAUUGGACUUACAAGCUAGCAAAAGCACUUGAUGCUGCAUUGCAGCCACAGAGGAUUCCAAAGCAGACAUGUGUUCUAUGUCCUGGGCAGUGAUUGUGCUUCUGGGCUGCAGAACCCUCUGUGAAGGUCUGUAGGGAGGGAACACGCCUGGGGGUGGGGCAUCACACACUGGUUAUCACUGAUUUUUCCCCAGCAAUGAUGAUAGCUCCACAGCACCUCAACAUCCAGUGAUGAAGACUUUGUUUUCCCCUUCUGGGAAUUACCAGCCAGAGGGAUGUGGACCCAAAUCACCAGCUGCACUCCAAGGUGUCAGAGACCUGAGAGCAAGCACCUCCCUAGGCACUGCAGACUUACCCCCUGCCUUCUCUGACAGCCUAAAGCAAGGAGUGCACUGCCCCAUACCCACUUGAAGGAGCAAGACUCAAAAAUAAAAAAAUACCAGAUCACCAUGGACCUACAUUAAAAAUGCCUCUCUCACACAUGCUAUGCCAUUCAUAGGUUUGUCAUACUGUGUGGGUGACCAU